GCCUAUCACUUCUUGUUUACCGAGAAAAAUCUGCAAGGACUGCUAACCCAUGCUUCCGUACUUAAAACCACGGCUUUCUCA
This 81-nucleotide transfer RNA is filed under the name Lophocebus aterrimus (Black crested mangabey). Its description in RNAcentral is "tRNA-Ser". The record is from RNAcentral. Lineage: Eukaryota; Metazoa; Chordata; Mammalia; Primates; Cercopithecidae.